RNAcentral lists this ribosomal RNA (498 nucleotides) under uncultured bacterium. RNAcentral's name for it is "partial 16S ribosomal RNA". It matches the Rfam family "Bacterial small subunit ribosomal RNA", at positions 28 to 507 of the family's 1533-position model. The record is from RNAcentral.
GACGAACGCUGGCGGCGUGCCUAAUACAUGCAAGUCGAACGAGAGCGACCGGUGCUUGCACUGGUCAAUCUAGUGGCGAACGGGUGAGUAACACGUGGGUAACCUGCCCAUCAGAGGGGGAUAACAUCCGGAAACGGAUGCUAAAACCGCAUAGGUCUUCGAACCGCAUGGUUUGAAGAGGAAAAGAGGCGCAAGCUUCUGCUGAUGGAUGGACCCGCGGUGCAUUAGCUAGUUGGUGAGGUAACGGCUCACCAAGGCCGUGAUGCAUAGCCGACCUGAGAGGGUGAUCGGCCACAUUGGGACUGAGACACGGCCCAAACUCCUACGGGAGGCAGCAGUAGGGAAUCUUCCGCAAUGGACGCAAGUCUGACGGAGCAACGCCGCGUGAGUGAAGAAGGUUUUCGGGUCGUAAAACUCUGUUGUUAGGGAAGAACAAGUGCUAGAGUAACUGUUAGCGCCUUGACGGUAUCUAACCAGAAAGCCACGGCUAACUACGUG